Nomia melanderi (Alkali bee) is the source of this 2754-nucleotide RNA transcript. It is a transcript of the gene named integrator complex subunit 12, with no coding region annotated. NCBI's taxonomy places the organism in Eukaryota, Metazoa, Arthropoda, Insecta, Hymenoptera, Halictidae. The record is from RefSeq and is a predicted model, not a curated record.
ACGGCUGCCAACCACCCGUCGAAAGUUAGACAUCGUUUUAACGCGCCUCGAGACAACAAGGAGCGACUUAUACGCGACCACGUUGGAUAGAGGAAGACGGUACCAAGAGCGCACCCAGCCGUACUUGACUCGUUCCCUUACACUCGAUCGCCCGCAGGGUUACUAUUUUGGUCCUUUCUUUGCUUGUAUUUUCACCAUUCUUUCGCACCUUUAUCGUUAAACAAACUUACCGAAACAUGUCACAGUUAGAGCUAGAUCCUCAAUUUACUCAAGGUUUACAUCUUCUACAUUCCACUAAUAAAGAUUCAGCAGAACAGCUGCAAGUACUUUUAGACGAGGCGAUUAAACAAAAGUAUGGACCAUCGAAAAUGUUGUCAAAUGUCUUGCACAAAAAGUAUAUGAUGGAGGAACCGGUGUUAAGCGACCAUAGCAGCAGCAGUAGUAGUAAGAAAAGCAAAAGCUCUGGAUCCUCUUCUAAACAUUCGAGUAAAUCCAGUAAAAAUAGUUCACCUGUGAAUCUGCCAACACGUGACACACCACCAGAUAUUAUGCAGUCCGAUAACACGUUGGCAUUAGAAAUAUUAGAAGAUGAUCUGACUUGUGUUAUAUGCAAAGGAAUGGAUGUUGGAGCUAGGAAUAGACUUGUAGAGUGCUUGGAAUGUCAUUCUUUGUAUCAUCAAGAGUGUCAUGUUCCACACAUUCUAGACUCGCAAAUAGAUGUUCCAGGACUCGUGUGGUAUUGCUCAAAUUGUUCAAAAUCUCAGAUCUCAAAAGAAAGGAGCUCACCAAAAACAGUGAUAGAAAGCAAAUCCAAGGAACAAAAAAAAUCUAAUUCAAGCAGUGGAAAUAAAGUGACACCUAAUAUUCAUAUAAUAAGUGCAGACAGAAGAUUAAAAGACAUGAUGAAGAAAGCAAAACAGGAUAAACGAAGUACAAAUAAUAGUCAAAGUUCAAAGAACUCGAACAGUUUGCCAGCACUAUCUUCAACGAAAUCUCAGGAAAAGUCCCUAUUAUACAAAAUAAAAUCGGGUGUAGAAUGAAAUUCUUCUACGUAAAAUUAUCGAGACAAUAUUUUAUAAUAUAGAAGAAGUUUAAGUGAUUGUUAUAAUACCAACUUUGUGGAAUGACUAUACACGAGUAAUUAAUCGAUGGAAAAGAGUAGCAAUUACAAUGAACGUCGGUAAUAUAGUCAACAGAAAACGAUUCAGUUGCUGCAUGCCAAAGAGCAUACGAAUAAUCUUUAAACAAGAAAUAUCAACUUUAUAUAUUCAGAGCCACACAUGCAGCGUUUCAAGGAGAAAUGACACAAUCAUCCCCCCAUCGUUCCCGAAGCCUUAACAAAGAAUAAUUUUAACUCGACGCAACGCUCGGACCCGUCUAUACUACGAAGCAUGAUAUACUAAUCGACUUGUAAACCGCUGAACAUCCCUUCAAUUUAAUUACAAUACAGUACAUACGUUGAAUGCAGAAUUGACAAGCUUUUCAGAUGGAUGGAGUCAACUGUCGAGCGUAUACGAAAUAUCGGGAAAUUCUAUUACGUUAUUAAAGCAUCACCAUGCUUCAACAGAUGAGAAAUCAAUGUUUCAUUGUUUUCCGAAAUAAUAGGCGACUCGAUGAUUUAAUCGAACCUUACGAAUGAUCGAAACUCUUUACAGAGAGCUUUCGGGCACAUUCCAGAAUCAGUGAAUUCGUCGUCUUUCUCAAUUGCGUACGAUUCCUUUCAAUUCUUCAGAACUGUAACAAACGCAGCAGAAUUUCAUCGAAAUUUGUAUGUGCGUACAUGCGUUAAAAAAUGCAGCCUUGUUGCAUUGGCUUUCCAUCGAAUUGCGCUCGAACGUAUGUUGUACCUUGAUGUACCGUACAAUAUACAUACUUUGUGUAAACCUCUGAAACGAUUAUUUAAAAAUGUACCACAUAUACUCGUUAGAAAUCUUUCGUGUUCUGAUUUUCUUGAUAAGUAAUUUGAUGUAUACACAAAUAUGUGCGCACGUAGACGUACGUCAAUCUGCACUAUACGCAAUGUGUAAAUUGAAAAUUUAUUUAUGCCCUUCACAGCAAUUGACAUUGUGGGUGUAAUAGUUUUUUUUAAAGUAUAAGUCAUCUCUGCGUAUUAUUCUGUAAUGUAAAAGUAUUACAUUAAUAUAAGGAAAUGCCAAUAGAGACAUAUAAAACAUUUUUGGAAUGUAUACGUAUCAUCUCCACAAUUUCAAAAUUUGAAAUACAUCUGUUUCGGUAUAUACAAUUGUCUAAAGACGUUUAAACAAACGAUCGAAAUCCAAUUAGGGAACGUAACAUUGAAAGUUAAGACAAUAGCAAUUAUUUAAGAUCAUCGUCGUUGAGAGGUGCUCUUAAAUAAGAGUAAUUAAUAAUAUUAAAACUAACAUUUAACAUUAUUUAAAUCCGUAAUGUUCUCGUUAUAAUUAAGACGACUUUAUAUUUUUACUUUGACUACACCUUGUGGGCAUUAAAGUAAGAUAACUUAAUAGUGGAAUUAAAAAAAACUUUAAUGCAGUUUACAACUAAACUGUGUAUAAAGGAUACAUUAUUUGCACAGUACUUUAAUUUAACAUAAAUAUUUGCGUCGCAAGAUUUGCGAAUAUCAGACUUAUAGAAACAAGUACGUUACUUUGAAUGAAUGGUAAAUAUAGUUUCACAGAUUACAAUCUCAUUCAAUGUAGGAAGACUAUUCAACCGUACAAUACAAUCAAAAGGAAUAUAAGUUUCGUGUAAACACUAUUCAUGAGACCAUUCUAU